Molecule: ribosomal RNA, 253 nt
Filed under: uncultured bacterium
Lineage: Bacteria
Description: partial 16S ribosomal RNA
Rfam family: Bacterial small subunit ribosomal RNA
Source: RNAcentral
UACGUAGGGUGCGAGCGUUAAUCGGAAUUACUGGGCGUAAAGCGUGCGUAGGCGGUUCGUUAAGUUCGUUGUGAAAGCCCCGGGCUCAACCUGGGAAUGGCAAUGGAAACUGGCGGGCUGGAGUAUGGCAGAGGGGGGUGGAAUUCCGCGUGUAGCAGUGAAAUGCGUAGAGAUGCGGAGGAACACCGAUGGCGAAGGCAGCCCCCUGGGCCAAUACUGACGCUCAGGCACGAAAGCGCGGGGAGCAAACAGG